This 8328-nucleotide long non-coding RNA is filed under the name Triticum aestivum (bread wheat). RNAcentral describes it as "long non-coding RNA (TAES_LNC024758)". Lineage: Eukaryota; Viridiplantae; Streptophyta; Magnoliopsida; Poales; Poaceae. The record is from RNAcentral.
CCUUCGGAAAUCAUUUACCUCAACCUUCGAAAAGCAUCCGUUAUACGAGUUAUGGCAAUACUCCCGAACUAUAACACCCACGAUGCGGCUAUAUCUCCCACGUCUCGGAGCACGACUUAGAGGCAUAACCGCAUUGUAGGCAUGUCACAAGAGGGGUAAUCUUUACACAUCCCAUGUACUGAAUAAGAAAGGGAUAAAGAGUUGGCUUACAAUCGCCACUUCACACAAUACAUAAAUAUAGCAUUACAUCAUCCAGAAUACAAUCAAGGUCCGACUACGGAACCGAAAUAAAAGAAGACCACCCCUAAUGCUACAGAUCCCCGAUCGCCCCAACUGGGCUCCACUACUGAUCAACUGGAAACGAAACAACUCGACGCACACGAUCUUCAUCGAGCUCCCACUUGAGCUCAACUGCGUCAUCUGCACUGUUAUCAACGGCACCUGCAAUUGGUUUUGGAAGUAAUCUGUGAGUCACAAGGACUCAGCAAUCUCACACCGUCGCGAUCAAGACUAUUUAAGCUUAUGGGUAGGAAAGGUAGUGAGGUGGAGCUGCAGCAAGCACUAGCAUAUAUGGUGGCUAACUUACGCAAAUGAGAGCGAGAAGAGAUGCAAAGCACGGUCAUGAACUAGAAGUGAUCAAGAAGUGAUCCUGAAACUACUUACAUUCAAACAUAACUCCAACACCGUGUUCACUUCCUGGACCCUACCGAGAAGAGACCAUCACGGCUACACACGCGGUUGAUGCAUUUUAGUUAAGAUAAGUGUCAAGUUUUCUACAACCGGACAUUAACAAAUUCCCAUCUGCCCAUAACCGCAGGCACGGCUUUGAAAGUUCAAAACCCUGCAGGGGUGUCCCAACCUAUCCCAUCACAAGCUCUCACGGUCAACGAAUGAUAUUCCUUCUCCCAGGACGACCCGAUCAGACUCGGAAUCCCGGUUACAAGACAUUUCGAUGAUGGUAAAACAAGACCAGCAAAGCCACCCAGAUGUGCCGACAAAUCCCGAUAGGAGCUGCACAUAUCUCGUUCUCAGGGCACACCGGAUGAGCAAGACGCCGGGUUGGCAUAAACCCUGGUUGCCCAGGGGGCGCCGGACAUUGCUCAGGUUGGGCCAACACUUAGAGAAGCACUGGCCCGGGGGGUUAAAAUAAAGAUGACCCUUGAGUCUGCAGAACCCAAGGGAAAAAGGCUAGGUGGCAAAUGGUAAAACCAAUGUUGGGCCUUGCUGGAGGAGUUUUAUUCAAGGCGAACUGUCAAGGGGUUCCCAUUAUAACCCAACCGCGUAAGGAACGCAAAAUCAAGGAACAUAACACCGGUAUGACGGAAACUAGGGUGGCAAGAGUGGAACAAAACACCAGGCAUAAGGCCGAGCCUUCCACCCUUUACCAAGUAUAUAGAUGCAUUAAUUAAGUAAGAGAUAUUGUGAUAUCCCAACAAUAACCAUGUUCCAACAUGGAACAAACUCCAUCUUCACCUGCAACUAGCAACGCUAUAAGAGGGGCUGAGCAAAGCGGUAACAUAGCCAAACAAUGGUUUGCUAGGACAAGGUGGGUUAGAGGCUUGACAUGGCAAUAUGGGAGGCAUGAUAUAGCAAGUGGUAGGUAUCGCGGCAUAGGCAUAGCAAUAGAGCGAGCAACUAGCAAGCAAAGAUAGAAGUGAUUUCGAGGGUAUAGUCAUCUUGCCUGAAAUCCCGCAAGGAAGAAGAACGAGUCCAUGAAGAAGACAAGCGGACGUAGAUGAACGGAUCCUCACAACUCCGGAACGAAACCGAAUCUAACGCGAGAAGUAACCCGGAAAGAAGCAAACAAACAUAGUAAACAACCAUCACAUAAGCAUGGCAUAAUGUGCAAACAAGUAUGAUGCAUGUCCGGUUUAAAUAUGCAUGGCAUGGCAAAGUGCAACAAACAACACUACAAAUUAAGUGGAGCUCAAUAUGCAAUGAGUUGCAUAUUGACAGAACACCACAUCAAUUAUUUAGUUCACUCCCAGUUAUGUACCCAACCAAAUUAAAUGUUCUUAACAUGUCAAGGGGUGAAGCAAAUGAAAACUACCUAUCUAGGCAAGUUUAAAUGAGGCCGGAACAACAAGCAACAAGUCCGGAAAAUCCUCACGUGCAUAUUUAUGGAUUUGGUACUGUUGUUCCCUAAACCAAAUUUUAUACUUGUUAAACAUGCAAGAUGAGUGCACCAUGUUAAACUAGGCAUUUUCCCACCCCAUUUACAUAUAAAGUUUAUUAAAUUUGGAGUUAUGGUUAUUUAGUUAUGAAUUAAAGCAUUUUAGCAUGGCAUAUGGACAAAAAUUACACAAACAGCAUUUUAAACAUUUUACAGAUGGAUGAAAGUUGGAUAUUGUGAAACUAGAUGAAAUUCUAGUCAAGUUACAUAUAUAAAUUAUUUAGAUCCGAAGCACGGUUGUGAAGUUAUUAAAUGCAUGAAGUUUAGGGGCCAUUCUGCAAAACUGGCACUCUCUGUAAAAUACCUAAAUUCGUCCCGAGGAAAAAAAUACUACACGGGCCGAAUCCUGUUGGCCCAAUAGGAAGAGGGGAUCUGGAGGGCGGCUCACAUCGGCCUUGAGGCCGAAUCCGGCUGGCGCUGCGGAGCUGGGCCAGGGCGAACUGGGCCUUGGCGCUGGAGAAGGCCUACGUUGUCGCUGGAGUUGGGCCAGGGUGAGGCCACGGUCAACGAAGGCUCGAGGCAAGGGCGUCUCCCUCCUGCUCGACUGCAAAAGCAGAGGUGCGGCAGGGAGCCUGCAGCGGCGCGAGGCUGCGAUGGAGCUGGAGUGGGCGCACGGAACUUGCGGCAGCGGGCGUGCAGGGAAGGCCGACGAGGAGCAGUGGCGAAGCAGAAGAAACGAGCGGGACUUUGCCUCGGAGCAGCAGGGCGAUGACCAUCCAUGGCAUCGGGCAGGGGAGGCACUGCUCUUCAUCCUCCUGCUCGAUGCAGAGAAGGCGACGGCGCGGGACUACGGGGCUCCGGUGGAAGGGACUUGCGUGGUUUUCAAGGAGGAUCUUGCAGGAUCCGCGGCGGCAGGGGCUAGAGGCCAGCGAAGCUCGGGCAACCAACCAUGGAGGUGUUAUGGGGCUCCUGCUCAAACAAAGAGACAGAGGGGUGAGAGAGAGGAAGACGAACCAGAGAGGAAGGAGAGGAGCGGGACGAGGCCGAUCCUGGUUGAUGGAGAACACGGGGCGCGGUUCAGGUGGCUGGGCGCGGCGGCGGCGAUGAUGCCAUGGAGGAAGGAGCAAACGGGAGGAGCUCGGGCUCCUACGGGAUCGAGAGGGGCUGGUUGGUCUCUGCGAUCUGUUGGAGACGAUGGAUGGAUCGAGGAAAAUCCCAAGAAGGAGGUGGCUGCGGGCGAGGGAAAACUGAGGAGGAGCGGGGCGGCUGUGGUUGGGCGGCGGCGCAAAUCGAGGGAGAUGGUAGGAUGGUGGAUUGGAUCGGGGGCUUGGAUUGGUGGAGUGCACUGGUUGGUUGCCGGUGAUCCCGAUGGGGAUAGAGCGGGUGGCGGCGCGAUGGGACACGAAGCCGAGGUUUUAGGGAUUGGUCUAGGGUUGGACUAGUUUAUAUAGUGAGUGGGUUAGAUCAGGGACUAUCUCGUCCCUCCGAUCAAAAUCGGAUGGUCAGGAAAAAUAGGCUAGGGAGUCCAAAUAAGAAAAUGGUGAUGUUUUGCAGAUGUCUGGGGAUGAUUCGGACCCAACGGUGAUGACUCCCUGGGUCGGGUUCGGGACAACUUGCCGACGCGCGCGAGGGGUUCGAUGCACUGUGCAGAGAGGGUUUCAGACCGUGCGAUCGCAUCGGACGGCUCCAGACACGAAGAGGGGUAGGCGGAUGGACUAGGUGGGCUGUGGCGAGACUGCGAGGGGAGAAGAGAGAGAGAGGGCCCAACAUCUGUUUCCGGAGACCGAAAACGUCUCACGAUAGACCGGCUACUAUUGCCGCUAUAGUUUAACGGUUGGGCUACCAAACAAACUCCGAAUGCGAUGAAACUUGGCAGGCGGCCUACCUACAACAUAACAACACCACAUGCCAUCUUUCAACCCAUUCAGAGAACAUUUUCCGGCCACUUAUAAAAUAAUAUUUCGGACGUGCCGCGGGCGCGUGCAAGUGUGCCUGGGCUCAGAACGAACCACGGAAAGAACGGGGGGGGGACCGGACGGAUGCAAGUUUUGAAAACAUGCAGAUGCAAUGCGGAUGAUGACAUGGCAAGAUGCAACACGCAAGAAAAUGACAAGGCAACAACAACGAAUAACUGGAAGACACCUGGCGCAUCGGUCUCGGGGGGUCACAACACUCCACCACUACGAGAGGAUCUCGUCCCGGGAUCUAGGAUGGCACCGAAGAGAAAUGGAAGAGGAAGAGAAAAGGUAAAACUAAGUUGCUCCUUUGACAAAAGAGUGAUACCAACGAACCUUGAGAGGUUGGCAAAAUUGAAAGAAGGAAAACAACAGAGAUGCAAGAAGUUAAAAACACUCCGUUGUAAAAGAGGAACAAGGAACAUCACGAGAACCGUGUAGGUUGAAAGACAUAAGAAAAAGGGUUGCAAUGGAGAAGAAGUACGUCCAAGCACUCCGGUAGAAACGAGAUGUACAAGGAACAAUAAGGAUCAAUUACGAUAACACUCCGGUUAAAACAAGAUAGAGAAGGAAUAAGACUGAUAUAAUUUGGGCAGCACUCCAACUGCAAAUGGAAGGAAAUGAACUUGAAUUUGUGAAGAUUGGAUGAUACUUGAUGAAAACAACAACACACUGCCUCCGGAACUAUUGAAAGAAUGGCACAAGGGGUAAGAAAGAUUCCAGACAGCACUCCAGAUGAUAAGGGAAGCAGAACUUGAUAAAAUGGGAAGAACUUGAAAAGAGGGCACGACACUCCGGUUAAAUGGAUAAGCAUGAAAAGAACACGAUCCUCACCAUUCGAGAUGAUGAGAGAAAAGAGCAACAUCACAAUGCCUCCGGAUGAAAGAAUAGAAGGUAGAUCGUCGGAACAAAAGAACGGAGAAGAAAAUGACAACUCCUCCCACAACUUAAUUUGAAAGAAACAUCCCUACGAAGAAGGCUUGAACGGCAUUGUUUAAAUAUCAACAACAACAACAAUAAGUUGUUUCUGGGCUUAUGAAAACAUCUCAAAUCUUGAGGUGAAAUUCUGCCACAAACGAAAACAAUGGAUUGAAUUGAUAUGAACAAGGAGACGAGAAACUAUUUCACCAGGAGGAUAAAAGAAGAACUUGGGUCAUUUAUAAGCACCAUAAAUAGCAACAAUCCUUAGGGAAGGCUUUAGGUGAAACGUGACACAAGAUAACUCCAACGAAGAGAUUGGUGGAUUUAAAAUAUCUCAUUCUUGACAACAUGUGAAUCAUGAAACACGAACUCAAAUUGACAAGAAUGACAUAACACCACCUCAAAAGAUUAGAUAGGAAGAACUGCACUCCGGAUUGCAAGAUGAAGAAUGCUUAAACUCCUCUGAAAAUAAUCUCAAUGAACACUUCGAGAAGGAAUUAGAUCUUUGAUGAGCCGUCAUGUAGUGCCUCCCUGAAGAACUCCUGUAGUGAAAGAAUGAUCAAAAGGAAAGAGAGUUGAAAACACAAGGUGAAGCCUUGCAAUGAUUUAGAUGGAACUUUGAAAUGAUAUCAUUGAAAUAGCUUGGAGCUUCGGAAACAAAAGGUGAACAACUUAGCACCGACAAAUUGAUAGCAUGAACGAACUCCGGAAGAAAGGAUUAACAUAUGGAUGAAACAAGAAUAAGAAUUACAUUAUGUGUAUCCUUCACCAAUUAAAUUGAUGACAAGCAAUGGAUUUGGCAUACUACUUAUUCCCGUUGGAAAGGAUUAAGAGAGAUAUAGCAUAACUUCAGAAGGUCUACAACAAACCACCGGAAGGGUUGAAACAACGAAUAAAUUGAUAUGAUAAAGAAGGAAAAGAAAUCUUGAACGAACCACCGUAAGAAUUGAAAAUGAACGUAGCAAAGGCACAAUUCAUCGGGAAGAAUUAUGAAAUGAACGAAGAUACUUGAGAAAAUUUAGAUGCAAGUGAACGAAGAGAUCCCAAGCUGAUUAGAGAAUACUUGAAUGAUGCACUGGUAAGAUUUGGAGAACGAUAGCUGAAAGCUGAGAAUGAAUAAACCCCAAAUGAUGGCCUUUGGCGAAUCAAACUGCAAAGACUCCUUAAUAACUCCGGAUGGGUGAAAAGAAUUCUCACAAUCGAAAACAAUUAUGAGAGGAAGGCAUCAAGCUAGAACCAUGAAUCUUGAAGAGAAUGGAGCAAGAUAUGGAAGAGAACUCUUCUUCGGUCUUCAAAUGCAGAGAAUGAUGAUGAGAAACACCACCAUGAAUUGUUGAGAUACUCCGGGAUGAAAAUUAGAAAGGUUGAACCAACGAUGAAAAGAAUUUGGAAGAUCUUAGAGAAGGACAUUUGACUGAUGGAAAUUCAUUCUUACGUCAAACUUUAAAAUGAAUUUGAGAAUAGCUCCGAGAAAAUUAGAAGAGUGAGGUAAGAUCCUGGGAGAAGACCUAUGGGUUAGGGCCCACUCAAAAGAAACACCAUUGAAAAGAUUUAAAGAGAGAGAUUGCACUGGUUAAAUUAAAUGGCUUGAAAGAGAUAACCACCUCAAAAUAGUUUGAACGGUUUGGAAUGAAAAUGCGAAUCUUCUGAGAUAUCUCAGCACUCCGGAACAAUUGAAUAGUGAGAGGUGAAUGAUUAAGAGGUGCACCGGCAUGCGAAGGUAUUUGAAACGAGGAAAAGGAUAUGAUCAACAAAGUUUGAAUUGAAACCACCGGAGAAGAAAAGAGAACGAAGAAUGAUGAACUUGUAGAGCAUCUUCACGAGAACCACAGGGUAAGAACAUUGACGGAAAAGAAUGGAGAGGCUUCCCAUCAAUAAAAUUGAUACUUGAUUAAGAAAUGUUAGUCCUUGAAGAAACAAGGGUGGGAGGGAGGGACAACAAAGACAACUUGGGAUGGAUGAAACAAACACCGUUGAGAGGACAUGAGUUGAUCUUGCGAACAUUGAAAAUGAACGGAUCCGCUUAAAGAGAAAAACGCACCAGUUGAAAAGGAUUGACAUGGCAAUCUAGAUAAUCAAGAAGGAUUAGUAUCCACAUAGGAAUAUGAGAACACCACUUAGGAAAGGUAUGGAAUCAACAUUUGACUUCGAAGCAACUCGAAUACCACAACUCAAAACAAAACAAAGGAUUGGCUUGCAGAAUAAGCCGGAACAAACAUAUGAUAGAGAUUUCGUCCGAAGUUUUCGUGGUGGGACCCACAUGGGCUUGAUCAUACAACAACAUCAUGUAUAAGGCAAUGCACAUGACAUACGAAGCGUCCCCGAGUCAGCAUAGCCAAGGACUCUUUAAGACACAAUGAGACCACUGUAAAACCAACCGUGGAUGGGCGGACCACUAGACGUCGAACCCCAAUCUCAUAUCAUACAUCUAUCGGAAAGAUAUCCUAGGAGCUACUUGAAUUCCCACAUAUAAACUCCCGAAACUUUCCGGUUAUGCAAUCAGGUGUUGGGGAUACAGGGGAAGCAUAAUAUCUCACCCAAAACUAACAAUUCCUACAUCCAGCUGUAUCCAUCCUUCAACACAUAACCAAUAAACCUUCGGAAAUCAUUUACCUCAACCUUCGAAAAGCAUCCGUUAUACAAGUUAUGGCAAUACUCCCGAACUCCCGCCCCAGUACAGGGUGGCCUCGAGGUUAUCUCACCAACAACUGCAUAAAAGAGAUUUUUUAUGUCGGCGAACCUCAGGUAUUCCCGAACUGCAACGAUAAAAUUAUGACGACAAUACCUCGGAGCUCAACUCCCUGGGACACUGCCACAACCCCUAAAUGUCAGGAGGCACCAAGAACAAUGUUCUCGUCACAAAACCAUCAGAACACUUCCAAGAUCCCCACGCGAUCAUAAAAAAAUCAGUGAAAUUUGAGAAGAGAAGAGUCAAAACUCUACGUCAGGAGGCCUCACCAGAGCGACAAAGGGACUGAGGAGUAAAAAGAAUCCUACUCUCUGAUAUUUAUAAUCCUAUAAGAUUCAAAACAUUUUUCUAGAAUCAACAACGCCAGCGAUUCGACCAAGCAGGGGGCUCCUAAGUCGGGGAAGGCUCUGAUUACCAACUUAUAACACCCACGAUGCGGCUAUAUCUCCCACGUGUCGGAGCAUGACUUAGAGGUUUAACCGCAUUGUAGGCAUGUCACAAGAGGGGUAAUCUUUACACAUCCCAUGUACUGAAUAAGAAAGGGAUAAAGAGUUGGCUUACAAUCACCACUUCACACAAUACAUAAAUAUAGCAUUACAUCAUCCAGAAUACAAUCAAGGUCCGACUACGGAACCGAAAUAAAAGAAGAC